UAAGGAAUAUUGGUCAAUGGACGCAAGUCUGAACCAGCCAUGCCGCGUGGAGGAUGAGGGUCCUCUGGAUUGUAAACUUCUUUUAUCUGGGACGAAACACUUCUUUUCUAAGAGGCCUGACGGUACCAGAUGAAUAAGCACCGGCUAACUCCGUGCCAGCAGCCGCGGUAAUACGGAGGGUGCAAGCGUUAUCCGGAUUCACUGGGUUUAAAGGGUGCGUAGGUGGGUAUGUAAGUCAGUGGUGAAAUCCCCGAGCUUAACUUGGGAACUGCCAUUGAUACUAUAUAUCUUGAAUACCGUAGAGGUAAGCGGAAUAUGUCAUGUAGCGGUGAAAUGCUUAGAUAUGACAUGGAACACCAAUUGCGAAGGCAGCUUACUAUGCGGUGAUUGACACUGAGGCACGAAAGCGUGGGUAGCAAACA
RNAcentral lists this ribosomal RNA (422 nucleotides) under uncultured bacterium. RNAcentral's name for it is "bacterial SSU rRNA". It matches the Rfam family "Bacterial small subunit ribosomal RNA", at positions 355 to 774 of the family's 1533-position model. The record is from RNAcentral.